This 468-nucleotide ribosomal RNA is filed under the name uncultured bacterium. RNAcentral describes it as "partial 16S ribosomal RNA". It matches the Rfam family "Bacterial small subunit ribosomal RNA", at positions 28 to 507 of the family's 1533-position model. The record is from RNAcentral.
GACGAACGCUGGCGGCGUGCUUAACACAUGCAAGUCGAACGGAAAGGCCCUGCUUUUGUGGGGUGCUCGAGUGGCGAACGGGUGAGUAACACGUGAGUAUCCUGCCCUUGACUUUGGGAUAACUUCAGGAAACUGGGGCUAAUACCGGAUAGGAGCUCCUGCUGCCUGGUGGGGGUUGGAAAGUUUCGGCGGUUGGGGAUGGACUCGCGGCUUAUCAGCUUGUUGGUUGGGUAGUGGCUUACCACGGCUUUGACGGGUAGCCGGCCUGAGAGGGUGACCGGACACAUUGGGACUGAGAUACGGCACAGACUAGUACGGGAGGCAGCAGAGGGGAAUAUUGCACAAUGGGCGGAAGCAUGAUGCAGCAAAGCAGCGUGCGGGAUGACGGCCUUCGGGUUGUAAAACGAUUUCGACUGUGACGAAGCGUGAGUGACGGUAAUGGGUAAAGAAGCACCGGCUAACUACGUG